Molecule: ribosomal RNA, 505 nt
Filed under: uncultured bacterium
Lineage: Bacteria
Description: partial 16S ribosomal RNA
Rfam family: Bacterial small subunit ribosomal RNA
Source: RNAcentral
GACGAACGCUGGCGGCGUGCCUAAUACAUGCAGGUAGAACGCACAGUUUAUACCGUAGCUUGCUACACCAUAGACUGUGAGUUGCGAACGGGUGAGUAACGCGUAGGUAACCUGCCUGGUAUCGGUGGAUAACUAUUGGAAACGAUAGCUAAUACCGCAUAAUAUUAAUUAUUGCAUGAUAAUUAAUUGAAAGGUGCAAUUGCACCACUACCAGAUGGACCUGCGUUGUAUUAGCUAGUAGGUGAGGUAACGGCUCACCUAGGCGACGAUACAUAGCCGACCUGAGAGGGUGAUCGGCCACACUGGGAAUGAGACAAGGCCCAGACUCCUAAGGGAGGCAGCAGUAGGGAAUCUUCGGCAAUGGACGAAAGUCUGACCGAGCAACGCCGCGUGAGUGAAGAAGGUUUUCGGAUCGUAAAGCUCUGUUGUAAGAGAAGAACGGGUGUGAGAGUGGAAAGUUCACACUGUGACGGUAUCUUACCAGAAAGGGACGGCUAACUACGUG